Molecule: ribosomal RNA, 497 nt
Filed under: uncultured bacterium
Lineage: Bacteria
Description: partial 16S ribosomal RNA
Rfam family: Bacterial small subunit ribosomal RNA
Source: RNAcentral
GAUGAACGCUGGCGGCGUGCCUAAUACAUGCAAGUCGAGCGAAAAGACGAGGAGCUUGUUCCUCUGACGUUUGCGGCGGGCGGGUGAGUAACAUGUGGAUCACCUACCUAUAAGACUGGGAUAUCUUCGGGAAACCGGCGAAAAUAGCGGAUAAUCUACUGAUGCGUAGGGGGCAAUGGUGAAAGACGGUUUUGGUGGAAGUUAUAGAUGGAUACGAGCCGCAUGAGCUGGUUGGGAAGGUAACGGCUUACCAAGGGUAGGAGGCGUAGCCGAGUGGAGGGGGUGGUCGGCCGCACGGGAACGUGGACACGGUCCAGGCUACUACGGGAGGCAGCAGUAGGGAAUCUGCCGCAAUAGGCGAAAACCUGGCGGAGCGACGCCGCGUGAGUGAUGGAAGUCUUCGGAUCGGAAAGCUCUGUUAUUAGGGAAGAACAAAUGUGUAAGGAACUAUGCACGUCUUGACGGUACCUAAUCAGAAAGCCACGGCUAACUACGUG